CAGAUAUAGUUCAUUGGUAGAACGUCAGCUUCCCAAGCUGAAGAGGCGGGUUCGAUUCCCGUUAUCUG
RNAcentral lists this transfer RNA (68 nucleotides) under uncultured Blautia sp. It matches the Rfam family "tRNA". From Rfam's summary of the family: Transfer RNA (tRNA) molecules are approximately 80 nucleotides in length. Their secondary structure includes four short double-helical elements and three loops (D, anti-codon, and T loops). Lineage: Bacteria; Bacillati; Bacillota; Clostridia; Lachnospirales; Lachnospiraceae. The record is from RNAcentral.